Molecule: long non-coding RNA, 2321 nt
Organism: Raphanus sativus (radish)
Lineage: Eukaryota; Viridiplantae; Streptophyta; Magnoliopsida; Brassicales; Brassicaceae
Exons: 5
Source: RefSeq, a predicted model, not a curated record
GCUUCAUUUCUUCAAAUUUCUUCCUCAUUCACCGUUUCUAGAUCUUCCUAUACAUUAUCUUCCUAUACAUUUAGGAAUUUCUUCAAAUUCCUAAAAGUCUCUUUGAUUACACACCGUAAUGACUGCAAUGUUCAAUCUGGCCUAUAUAAAUCAUCUAGAUUCUCUCUAUUCGGCUUCAUCUGAGCUUUCAAAUGGAUCCAUCACCAUCACUUGAUCAAGAAACCCGUAGCAAAGAAGAUGAGGCAGAGUGUCCAACUCCCGACAGUAGCAGAGACAAAAGGAAACAGUCAAGUGCUGCGAUUUCUCAACCAUCUAAGGUUAAGCGGAUCCUUCCUACAAGAUCAGAUGUGUGGGAACAUUACACAAGAACUAAGGAGGACAGAGACCAGUGUCUAUGCAACUACUGUCAGAAAAAAUUCUCGUGUCUCACCUCACCGGGGACCACGGACCUGAGGAAGCAUCUUGAGGUUUGCAAGAACCAUCAAGCUUGGUUAGCAGUUCAGAAAAACAAACAAGAAAAUGUCUCUGAGGAUGGGAAGCUGAGGGUGGGUAAACUUACUGAAGCUGUGUUUAGAGAAGCAACGAAUGAGAUGGUCGUGAUGGCCCAACUGCCUUUAGCGUUUGUCGAUAGUCCUGCAUGGAAGCAUUUCUGUAAAAAGGCAAAGCUAGGAUACAAUCCUCAUUCAAGAAGGACUUUAACCAAAGACAUAAAUUAAGUCGUAUGUGGAGAAGAAAGCGGCACUGAUGAGAUGGUUCUUAUGCAACAAACAACGUGUGUCCAUCACUACAGACAUGGGUUUCCCAAAUCACAGGUGCUAGUUACAUGGUGAUUACGGUGCAUUAUAUUGAUGCUUUCUGGCGACUGAAGAAGCUGAUCAUAGGGUUCAAACAUAUCACGGAUCAAAAAGGUCAGACUAUAACUUCUGUUUUACUAGAUUGCUUGGCUGAAUGGGGAAUUGAGAGGAUCUUUUGUAUUACCGUUGACAAUGCAAUUGUGUAUACAUCAGUAUUAAGGAAGUUUCAGAGUGCAUUUGCAUUAGAUGGUGAGUUCUUGCAUAUGAGAUGUAGCGCUCAUAUAAUAAACCUGAUUGUGAGGGAUGGAAUGGCUGAAAUAGAUCAGAACGUGGCUGCUAUCAGAAAUGCUAUCUCGUAUGUUAGAUCACAUACAAACAGGUUGAGUUCUUUUGAGCUUAAGGUUGACUCGGGUAAGAUAUCAAGAGGAAGCUUGCCUUUGGAUGUCAAGACAAGGUGGAAUUCAACAUACCUGAUGUUGACAACAGCUCUGAAGUUCAAGGUGGCAUUCAACAAGAUGGUGGCAGAAGACAAGCUGUACAACGACUAUUUCUGUGAGAUUGAAGCUGGUGCUAAAAGGAUUGGUCCUCCUGAGAAUAUGGAUUGAAUGCAGUUGAGAAAUUGUGCAUGUUUCUUGUGAUCUUUUACAACUCAACCUUGGUGGUAUAAGCUUCAACUUCUCUUAACUCCCACAAGUGUUAUGAAGAGGUGGUCACCAUUGCAACAAAUCUGAUUGCACUCGUCAACAGCUAUGAUCCAGAGUUGAAGUCCAAGGCAACAGAAAUGUUGAAAAAAUUCGAGAAGUAUUGGGAUGGUCUCAAGAAUUUGAACAAGAUGCUGAUGGUUGCUAUUGUCUUUGAUCCAAGCAAGAAGUAGAGUUUGUGAAGUUGUGUUUUGAGGAAUUGUAUGGACAUGACACUGUCUACUAUAAGGAGAUGUACGACUCCUUACUCACUGUCUUGAGAAGUUUGUUUAAGGAAUACAGUACAAGAUUAGGAGGUGGUACUGAUCCAGAUGACUAAUCGUCUCAGCCUAACAAAACAUCACAGUAUUCUCCAGAGAAGUCUAUUGAAAGAAUGGAGACAGUGGAUGAUUGUGCUGGCUACAAGCGGAUUGCUCGAGAUGUUUUGGCAAUGCAGGUUUCUUCAGUUGCUUCGGAGAGUGCUUUCAGCACUAGUGGGAGGAUGCUUUCACCACAUAGGAGUUGUCUUACUCACUUUAUGGUUGAAGUUUUAAUGUGCUCAGAACAGUGGAUGAAACAAGAUCUGAAGAUGGAGUCAAGAAUGCCUUCACAUGCACAAAUUCUUGAAGAUCUUGAGGAGGAUGACAAGCUCGAAAGAGAGAAUGGAGAUGCAUCAACAGUCUUGGAGUAAGAGUUCUACAAGAAGAUUGUCUUUUAUGUUUGGAAUUUGAGCAUUUUGAAUUUGUUUCUUUAGUACUUUUUAUGCAAUUGAUUUCGUUAUGGACGUUAAGUGUUUUGGUGUGUUCAAACUUAUGUGUGUUUGGUUUCGGAUUUAUAAGUUAUUAAG